Molecule: long non-coding RNA, 1088 nt
Filed under: Triticum aestivum (bread wheat)
Lineage: Eukaryota; Viridiplantae; Streptophyta; Magnoliopsida; Poales; Poaceae
Description: long non-coding RNA (TAES_LNC021429)
Source: RNAcentral
CAUGAACCUUUUAUACCACAUUGUAGGAGUGUAGCUUUCAGACCAAACACCUUAUAAGCGCAGUUCCAGAUGAGAAAAAUUGUGUCGUAAUUUAGGUGCACUGAUUUUUAAUAUUGGAGUUGAGACCUGUCAUGAGCAGAGUUAAGACAUAAUCUAUUCCAUUAAAAAACAUAUUUCCUGUUUUGGUCAGUACAAUUUCAUUAUCACAGCCGAGGCCUGUCUUGAACAGAGUUAAGGCAUAAUCUAUUCCAUUAAUCAAAUGACCUUUUUUCCUAUUCUGCUCAAUACAAUUUGAUGACCACAGUUGCAUAUACUAGCAAUUUUGAUCAACACAAAAUUUCUGGAGAUUAGAGCAAUUAUGCAAGAAGAAAAGGAAUGGAAAUAUUAAUGAUUUGAAAAAUAAACAAAGCAGGAUCAAAAGAGACGUCACACUUACAUAGCGAUUGCUUCUGCAGCUAAUAUCUUCUGUCACAAUCAUCAUAGCACCAGAAUGCACUUGAUCAUAGUGCACUCCAUGUGAACUUGAGAUCCCCGGCAGUUGAUACAAAUGCUCAAAGAUUGCCCCUUUUGAUGAACCCAAACCGAAGUACAUAUCCCCAAUCCAUGCGGCUGCACAUAACAAGUGGAAUUUAGAAGGAAAUCGCUGGACCGCAUAGCCAUAGGCAGGCAGGGAAUGGCUGACUGAACAUUUUACUUGUCCGGUCAUCCCAGCGCAUUGCAUGCUACUGAGCUAUGCAGUUUACCCAGUAAAUUAACCAACCACACACAAUUGGGCAACAGAUCGGUGGAAGAACAGCUGCUGCAUAAACCAGGAACCACACAGCUGUUGCAUUGCCAUCAGUUACCAAAUGGUGGAGCAGAGUAGAGCUAGCAGCAAACAGUGUGGAUUCUGAAAUUCUCUAGCUACUUCACUGCAUCCACGGCUGCUAAUCUUGUUAACCGUUCCUACCAUAUGAAUUCGCUGGUCCUAACAACGCAAUGUAAUGCAUGGGUUGUUCAUGGCAGCAUGUAUGGUUGUCGUUUCUGAUUCCUGAGAGAGGAUGUGUGGCUGGUUUCGUACCUUUCUUGCGGACGCAGUGGUUGUGGUC